RNAcentral lists this ribosomal RNA (253 nucleotides) under uncultured bacterium. Its description in RNAcentral is "partial 16S ribosomal RNA". It matches the Rfam family "Bacterial small subunit ribosomal RNA", at positions 524 to 776 of the family's 1533-position model. The record is from RNAcentral.
GACGAACCGUGCGAACGUUGUUCGGAAUCACUGGGCUUAAAGGGCGCGUAGGCGGGCCGGCCGGUCGGAGGUGAAAGCCCCCAGCUCAACUGGGGAAGCGCCCCCGAUACCGCCGGCCUGGAGGGGGGUAGGGGCGUGCGGAACUUCCGGUGGAGCGGUGAAAUGCGUAGAGAUCGGCAGGAACACCCAGGGGGAAACCAGCCGACUGGGCAUCUGCUGACGCUGAGGUGCGAGAGCGUGGGGAGCGAACCGG